Molecule: ribosomal RNA, 1041 nt
Filed under: Elsinoe fawcettii (citrus scab fungus)
Lineage: Eukaryota; Fungi; Ascomycota; Dothideomycetes; Myriangiales; Elsinoaceae
Description: SSU rRNA
Rfam family: Eukaryotic small subunit ribosomal RNA
Source: RNAcentral
AGCAACUAUACGGUGAAACUGCGAAUGGCUCAUUAAAUCAGUUAUCGUUUAUUUGAUAGUACCUUACUACAUGGAUAACCGUGGUAAUUCUAGAGCUAAUACAUGCUAAAAACCCCGACUUCGGAAGGGGUGUAUUUAUUAGAUAAAAAACCAAUGCCCUUCGGGGCUCUCUGGUGAUUCAUAAUAACUCAACGAAUCGCAUGGCCUUGCGCCGGCGAUGGUUCAUUCAAAUUUCUGCCCUAUCAACUUUCGAUUGUAGGAUAGAGGCCUACAAUGGUAUCAACGGGUAACGGGGAAUUAGGGUUCGAUUCCGGAGAGGGAGCCUGAGAAACGGCUACCACAUCCAAGGAAGGCAGCAGGCGCGCAAAUUACCCAAUCCCGACACGGGGAGGUAGUGACAAUAAAUACUGAUACAGGGCUCUUUUGGGUCUUGUAAUUGGAAUGAGUACAAUCUAAAUCCCUUAACGAGGAACAAUUGGAGGGCAAGUCUGGUGCCAGCAGCCGCGGUAAUUCCAGCUCCAAUAGCGUAUAUUAAAGUUGUUGCAGUUAAAAAGCUCGUAGUUGAACCUUGGGCCUGGCUGGCCGGUCCGCCUCACCGCGUGCACUGGUUCGGCCGGGCCUUUCCUUCUGGGGAACCGCAUGCCCUUCACUGGGCGUGCCGGGGAACCAGGACUUUUACUUUGAAAAAAUUAGAGUGUUCAAAGCAGGCCUUCGCUCGAAUACAUUAGCAUGGAAUAAUAGAAUAGGACGUGCGGUUCUAUUUUGUUGGUUUCUAGGACCGCCGUAAUGAUUAAUAGGGAUAGUCGGGGCCAUCCGUAUUCAAUUGUCAGAGGUGAAAUUCUUGGAUUUAUUGAAGACGAACUACUGCGAAAGCAUUUGGCAAGGAUGUUUUCAUUAAUCAGUGAACGAAAGUUAGGGGAUCGAAGACGAUCAGAUACCGUCGUAGUCUUAACCAUAAACUAUGCCGACUAGGGAUCGGACGGUGUUAUUAUUUUGACCCGUUCGGCACCUUACGAGAAAUCAAAGUCUUUGGGUUCUGGG